This 301-nucleotide ribosomal RNA is filed under the name uncultured bacterium. RNAcentral's name for it is "partial 16S ribosomal RNA". It matches the Rfam family "Bacterial small subunit ribosomal RNA", at positions 509 to 807 of the family's 1533-position model. The record is from RNAcentral.
CAGUCGCCGCGGGAAUACAGAGGGUGCGAGCGUUAAUCGGAUUUACUGGGCGUAAAGCGCACGCAGGCGGUUUGUUAAGUCAGAUGUGAAAUCCCCGAGCUUAACUUGGGAACUGCAUUUGAAACUGGCAAGCUAGAGUCUUGUAGAGGGGGGUAGAAUUCCAGGUGUAGCGGUGAAAUGCGUAGAGAUCUGGAGGAAUACCGGUGGCGAAGGCGGCCCCCUGGACAAAGACUGACGCUCAGGUGCGAAAGCGUGGGGAGCAAACAGGAUUAGAUACCCCUGUAGUCCCUGUCUCUUAUAC